UUAUAUAUAGUAAUGCAUGUAGGAAUACUACAUUAUUUUACACUAUCAGCCUAGCUGACAUGAAUAUCUCACUUACAUUACUAAAUUCAAUCGGCUUACAUUAAUUUUUGGUAAUUGGACAUGGGUUGGUUAUUGCAAUCCUCUCACUAUGUUGGAAACAACUGCUCUGUAACAUCGACAAUAUUAUCUCCAAACUUUGGAUUUAACGUAUUCUACUGCUUAUUGGUGGACAGACUGCCUUGUUUUAGAAAGCCUUUUAACUUAUUUAUAUAUAGGCAUGUUUUUCAAGACAUCUCAAAGAUGAAUUAAUAUUGAAAGAAAGAAGUGUACACAUUUUCAAUAGUUCCAAAACGUAACACAAGAAACACAUAUCCAAAAUGGUUUGGAAGAAACCCAUUGGUACUAAACCAGGAGGAUUCAGUCAAAACUGUAUCAUUAGUACAUUUCUGAAGUUCGGAUAAGCUGCUGUGCAAAACACUCAAAAAUGGCCUACCAUAUAGGACAAAAAGACUGCCAGUUCCUGGAUUAAUGAAAUUAUAUAAACUGAUAUUUUAUAACUGUAGUUAUUCCUGUAUGCACUUGACACAUAAACUUGUAUGCCUAAAAUUAGGUAAACUCAUAACAAAAUCUUAGUAUAAGAUAUUACACAAUUUACGAAAAUUUAAGUACCUGAGAUGCUGUACAGUUGAACAUUUCCAAUGCAAUGUCAUUAAAACCCAAUAUUUCAUUUGCAUUGGCAGGUAAAUCUGAAACAAAAUCAUCUAAAGCUACAUAGUGACAAAUAAUUAUACGCCAUAAGUUAAGUAAAUCAGAUUAAAAUUAGGGAAAUAGUAGGAGUAGUAAUCAAUCAAUUAAUCAAUUUCUUUAUUUGUCAUUUCAUAGAGAAAUACAAAGGGGUCAAAACAGUUAAUAGAAUGUAAAAUUACAAUGUUGUUAGCUUCAGAAAGUUAUAUGGUAAAAUAAAAUAGGUUAUCUUAAUAUACAGUGAAAUCAAUUGUCAUUGUAUAACUCAGCUAGGCUGUGGUAGGGUCAUUCUGUCAACCAUUUGCUGACCUCUCUCUUCAGGACCUGUCCUGUCAUUCUUCUCAGUUGUCCUGGGAGAUUAUUAUGUAGUCUGCAGCCAAUGUAGAGUGGUUGUCUUUCAUAUAGAGUGAGGUGAAAUUGAGGUAUAGCAAAGGAUGAAGCAUGUCUGGUGUGAUAGCUGUGGAUGUUGUUACGUGGUGGAUUUUUAUGGUCAGCAUAAGUGAUUAUCUCUUGAAUGUAGAGGUUGAUCACUGUCAUCACUCCCAGUACAUUAAAAAAUGCAAGGAAAGUUUCUAGAGAUUAUAAAUCUGCAAGUACCCUUAUAGCUCGUUUCUGCAGAAUCAAUACCCCUUCCAUGAUGCUGGGCGAAGUUCCACUCCAAAUAACAAGGCCAUACCUAAUAAAUGUGAUUCACACAGUCCGAAAUAAGCUGUUUUGGUAGUAUUAAUAUCAGCUACUUGUUUAAGUCUUUUCACAGAAAAAAGACCAGAAGAAACUAUUUUGUAAAAGUUAUCAAUGUGAGGUGUUCAAGUGAGGUUUGCAUCAAUUGUCAUUCCUAGCAGUUUGAGCUUGUCUUCUUGCACUACAUUGUACACACCUAGUGUGUCUUUUAUACUUUUGAAAUAUAUCUGCUUUGUAUAUAUAUAAUUAUAAACCUUUUAACACUUUUUAAACUUUUAU
This is a long non-coding RNA of Homalodisca vitripennis (glassy-winged sharpshooter), 1704 nucleotides long. RefSeq lists it as uncharacterized. The record is from RefSeq and is a predicted model, not a curated record. The transcript is spliced from 3 exons. NCBI's taxonomy places the organism in Eukaryota, Metazoa, Arthropoda, Insecta, Hemiptera, Cicadellidae.